Molecule: ribosomal RNA, 481 nt
Filed under: uncultured bacterium
Lineage: Bacteria
Description: bacterial SSU rRNA
Rfam family: Bacterial small subunit ribosomal RNA
Source: RNAcentral
AUUGAACGCUGGCGGUAUGCUUUACACAUGCAAGUCGAACGGUAACAGGUCUUCGGAUGCUGACGAGUGGCGAACGGGUGAGUAAUGUAUCGGAACGUGCCUAGUAAUGGGGGAUAACCACUCGAAAGAGUGACUAAUACCGCAUAAUAUCUCAGGAUGAAAGCGGGGACCGUAAGGCCUCGCGUUAUUAGAGCGGCCGAUAUCAGAUUAGGUAGUUGGUGGGAUAAAAGCCUACCAAGCCAACGAUCUGUAGCUGGUCUGAGAGGACGACCAGCCACACUGGGACUGAGACACGGCCCAGACUCCUACGGGAGGCAGCAGUGGGGAAUUUUGGACAAUGGGCGAAAGCCUGAUCCAGCAAUACCGCGUGCAGGACGAAGGCCUUCGGGUUGUAAACUGCUUUUGUACGGAACGAAACGGUUCAGAUUAAUACUCUGAACUAAUGACGGUACCGUAAGAAUAAGCACCGGCUAACUACGUG